AGUGGUCCUUUAAGAGUGUUGUGUGUGUGUGUGUGUGUGUGUGUGUGUAUAUAUAUAUAUAUAUACACACACACACACACACACACAUAUAUAUAUUUGGAAGUA
RNAcentral lists this microRNA precursor (105 nucleotides) under Pelobates cultripes (western spadefoot toad). Lineage: Eukaryota; Metazoa; Chordata; Amphibia; Anura; Pelobatidae. The record is from RNAcentral.